Molecule: long non-coding RNA, 3172 nt
Organism: Suricata suricatta (meerkat)
Lineage: Eukaryota; Metazoa; Chordata; Mammalia; Carnivora; Herpestidae
Source: Ensembl
AUGAGAACACUGCCCUCCAGUCUGCAGAGGCAGGAGCCCCGCCAGUUAAUCAAGAUGAGUACUGGUGACAGGACCAGGGUCCCCUGCAGAGGAGUGGACAAAAAGGUCAGAGCACAGCAGGUCCUGGAUCCUGUGACGCGGGGCCCCAGGCCCUGCGGGAGCAGGAGUGCUGGUGAGUUGGAUUCAGAGGACGGGGAAGCACAAGCCUUGGCGGUCAAGGUGAGGGUUCAGACGGAAAGUGCAAUGUUUAGACAGACUUGCCGUCGAGGGGUUGUUUCUCCUUCGCCAAAUGUUGCCCAGCAGCGGCUUCCACACCUGGCCGGGAGCACUCGCCCGGAGGAGCAUGGUAAAACCGAAGCGUGUUGGCAAAGCCACAGCUGGAACACGAGGGUCGAAGGCGCCCCAAAUGCCGCAGCAGGGCCCCAACGGGCGGGGCCGCGCCAGCGUGGACCGCCGAGUUCCGGUUUUCCAGCCAGAGAGCACACCUCCAUCCCCCAGUCCGCUGGAGGCGAAGGCAGCCACGCCGUCUCAGCCCACGGGCUCCUCGUGCCGUUGGAGCAGGGCCGCCUCCCGCGGGGGGACCCCGGUGGCCUUCAAGCAGCCCCGUCCCUGCUGACUGCACAGCAGGGUAUGUCGUCUUCCGAUCUAUCCUGGGAGCGAGGACAGUCCCCGUGCAUCGACUGUCCAGGGAACUAAGUUGUCAGGCCUACACGAUUCCCAGAGACGCGGCCUCUGAGCCUCCGCGGCUGCCGUGGAAGGCCGCUGCCACAUGGCUACGCGGGCCUCGUCAGCCUCAACACAGCGCAGAGGCCCUGCCGGGUGAAGAUGGAGGAGUCUUCCGCCUCUGCCUCUCCUCACGAAAAGGAGGUUCAGUUUGUACAACAGUGUGGGACUAACCUCCCGCAAAGUUGCAACCCAGCCACGCCGGAGCUGACGGCGCAGUGCGGAGGGACACUGAGGCAGAGCCUCAGAAUGUAGCCCCAGUGGGAAAAGCUACGCUAAGGAGUUCUGCAUAGUCUCAGGCACCUCGCGGUCCGAUGCUGCUUAGUGCACCUUGCGCGUCCUUACCGUUAGAUUCUCGAGGCCGGAGUGCGGCUCAGACACCGUGGGCUACGGAGGUGGGAGUCCUGCCCAGACGCAGCUUAUCUGGAGGGUGCCGUACGGCCUCCCCCGUCCCCCUCCCCGCACAGCGGGGCUGUUCCCCGGGGGAGCCUGGGCUUACCGUGGGGUGCCUACUGCUUCAAUCCCACAAGAAACCUGUUUAUUCUCUUAAUAGCUUUUUGUUGGGCGCCUGCAUUGGGGCGCUCAGUUAAGUGUCUGACUUCGGCUCAGGUCAUGAUCUCACAGUUUGUGGGUUCGAGCCCCACACUGGGCUCUGUGCUGACAGCUCAGAGCCUGGAAUCUGCUUCAGUUUCCAUGUCUCUUUCUCUCUCCACCCCUCCCCUAUUCAUGCUCUGUUUCUCAAAAUAAUAAAUGUAAAAAAAAAAAAAAACUUUCUGUUCACAAAAACCAGGGUGAUCUACAUUUGUGCGUAUAGCACACUGCACAUGCUGCUGUGUUUUGUCCAUCGACAUCAGGGGACUUUCCAAGUAUUUGAUUUUCAAGGUUUAUAGUUACACAGCCAUUAGUCUGCCAAGAGUUGUAAACCACACAGACCAAAGACCCAGUGGGGAGCUGUUGUGAGAAAUUCCUUUCCAAAUAACAUCCUUCAUAGCAGGUGUGAUCUAAACACGUGACGUCAGAAGACACGAGCACGUCGCUGGAGUUCCCUCUGGCCAACGGCCUGGUUCAUUAUCGCGUCCUAAACCCAGACUGCCCCCCGAUGACACCAGUCCUGCCCGCAGGCUUCCAUUCCACUUUGUCGAGUUCCCAAGGCAGGCUGGUCACGGAAGACGCAGGCCUGGCCCUCAGGGCACCGCUCUGCUGAGGACGUGUUAGCCCCUUGCUCUCUCCAGGCACUGAGGUCAGGCGAGAUCUCCAUUUUCACCGAGUACCCAUUUACUCACCUGUCUGCCCUCGGCUGCCAUGUCUCCUAUUUCCGUUUGUCUUCUUAUCCAUUCUGUGUUACCCUAUAUCUUUUGAUUGAAGCAUUUAUUUAUUUAAAAAAAUUUUUAAACAUUUAUUUAUUUUUGAGAGACAGAACAUGACUGCGGAGAGGCAGAGAGAGAGGGAGGGAGGGAGACACAGAAUUUGAAGCAGCUCCAGGCUCUUAGCUGUCAGCACAGCGCCUGACACAGAGCUCCAGCUCACCAACUGCAAGAUCAUGACCUGAGCUGAAGUCUGAUGCUCAACCGACUGAGCCCCCCAGGUGCCCCUUGAUUGAAGCAUUUAGUCCAUUGAUGUUUAGAGUGAGUACUGAAAAACAUGAAUUUAUUGCCAUUAUGUUGUCUGUAGAGUUGGAGUUUCUGAGUUUCUGGUGGUGUCUCUGGUCCUUUCUAGUCUUUGUUGCUUUUGGUCUUUUUUUUUUUUUCUUUUUUUUUUUGUCUUUUCUCCCCUCAGAGAGUCCCCCUUAAAAUUUCUUGCAGGACUUGUUUAGUGGUGACAAAUUCCUUUAGUUUUGUUUGUCUGGGAAACUUUUUAUUUCUCCUCCUUUUUUGAAUGACACCCUUGCUGGAUAAAGAAUUCUUGGCUGCAUAUUUUUCUGAUUCAGCAGGUUGAAUACAUCUUGCCAAGUUUCUGUGGACAGGUCUUCUGCCAACUUGAUCUGUCUUCCCUUGUAGGGUAAGGACUCUUCUUCCUUUGCUGCAUUCAUGAUUCUUUUCUGGCCUGAGUAUCUUGUGAAUUUGACUAUGAUAUGUCUUGUUUUUAUUGGAUCUAAUGGGAGUUUUCUGUGCUUCCUGGAUCUUGAUGUCUGUGUCUGUCCCCAGGUCAGGAAAGCUUUCCACUAUGAUUUUCCCACAUAAACUUACCCGUUUGUCUCUCUCUUCAUCUUCUGGGACCCCGUGAUUCAGAUGUUACUCCUUUUAAAUGAGUCACCAAGUUCUCUAAGUCUUAUUUUGUGCUCUUUUGCCUUACUUUUCCUUUUUUUGUUUCUGCUUCAUUGUUCUCCGGAAGUUCGUCCUCUGUGUCAUGGAUUCGCUGCCCUGCUUCAUCCAUCCUUGCUGCUGUGGCGUCCACUCGAGAUUGCAGCUCAGUUAUAGCAUUUUUUAUUUUGUUCUGGCUAGACUUCUUU